GCCAGUGUGGUUCAGUGGUUUGAGCACUAGCCUAUGAUGCUGGAGACUAGAGUUCGAACCCCAGGUCAGCCA
This is a non-coding RNA of Phrynosoma platyrhinos (Desert horned lizard), 72 nucleotides long. The record is from the annotation of a GenBank genome assembly. NCBI's taxonomy places the organism in Eukaryota, Metazoa, Chordata, Lepidosauria, Squamata, Phrynosomatidae.